This 253-nucleotide ribosomal RNA is filed under the name uncultured bacterium. RNAcentral's name for it is "partial 16S ribosomal RNA". It matches the Rfam family "Bacterial small subunit ribosomal RNA", at positions 524 to 776 of the family's 1533-position model. The record is from RNAcentral.
UACAGAGGGGGCAAGCGUUAUUCGGAAUUAUUGGGCGUAAAGGGCGCGUAGGCGGCCUGGCAAGUGGAAGGUGAAAUCCCUCGGCUUAACCGAGGAACUGCCUCCCAAACUGCUUGGCUUGAGACCGGGAGAGGUGAGUGGAAUUCCCAGUGUAGCGGUGAAAUGCGUAGAUAUUGGGAGGAACACCAGUGGCGAAGGCGGCUCACUGGACCGGUACUGACGCUGAUGCGCGAAAGCGUGGGGAGCGAUCCGG